GGGGAUGUAAUAUAGUUUGGUCAAGUAUACCAGGCUGGGGGUCUGGUUGCCGCGGUUCAAAUCCGCGCAUUCCCA
Molecule: transfer RNA, 75 nt
Filed under: Nanobdellota archaeon
Lineage: Archaea; Nanobdellati; Nanobdellota
Description: tRNA-Pro
Rfam family: tRNA
About the family: Transfer RNA (tRNA) molecules are approximately 80 nucleotides in length. Their secondary structure includes four short double-helical elements and three loops (D, anti-codon, and T loops).
Source: RNAcentral